Passer domesticus (house sparrow) is the source of this 1562-nucleotide long non-coding RNA. RefSeq lists it as uncharacterized. The record is from RefSeq and is a predicted model, not a curated record. NCBI's taxonomy places the organism in Eukaryota, Metazoa, Chordata, Aves, Passeriformes, Passeridae. The transcript has 3 exons.
AGGGCUGGCCGCAGCUGUUAAGAUCUUGCUGUUAGGUCCCCUCCCCACAGUGCAGCAGAGACAACAGAAACCCUUGCAGCCUGCAGCCCUUGCAGAGUGGCCCUGCGGUGGGAAUUGAACGCAGAGAAAAUCCAAGACCAGCAAUGAAGCCCAUCCUGAUAAAACCCAGCCACAGCUCCUGCCACAAGUUGUGGCGGGUCAGGUGAUUAUUGGGCUCUGUCACCCACUCCCUCCUCCUCAUAAGUGUCGCCAGCACUACCCAACACCGUCAUUCAAAAAGAACCUGAAUGUGAUUUGGAUGAACAGCAACAAGUUUCUCAAAUCUUAUAAGAUCACAUGAUAAAUAUUCCUACAGCUCUGCCUGACAAGAACUUCAUAUCCAAUGAGACCUCUCUGAGAUUUUGUUGACAGCUACUUCAACUCAGAAGGCAAGGGGAAAGUGAUGAAAGCAAGAUAAUCUGGAAACUUGAUAAAGACAUUGUAGAACUGUAGUGUAUCAUUUGCCAUCUCUAACAUUUCCCACAGUGGAGAUGAAAGGAGCUUAUGUGAAUGUUUGUCAGACAGAAGAAGCUGAUAUGGUGUACACCAUAACUCUGCCUUGCAAAGCAUAGCCAUGCAGAAGGUAUGUGACAAAACAGAUGUAAAUUUUUGAAAAGAAGUAAGCAGAUGAGAGCAAAAUGUAUCUAGGGUCUGUUCCUUCUAGCUAGACCUUGGAAACCAGAAUUAGGGAACAAAUGUGCCUUUACAUCAACUCGCCAACCUGUUGUGCCACAACUGAAGCGCAGCAUAGAGCAUCCUAUUUACCAUAUAGCUCCUUGACCCCAUCUGAAAUCGUGUCAGGAUGGUUGCUAGUGCAUCCAUGUGUGCAGGCUUUGCUGGCUAUUUCUGCAUGCUUUAGAACAAAGCAUGAGCAAGGCACUCAACCCUCAGGCUUACUUAAAAUUAAUGACUAUGUAUUUUCUGGGGUUUUUUGUGGCAAAAACCAUGCUAUUUAGUUCACCAAACAAAUAUACAUCAAAUUUUUACACUGUCAAAAUAAAGCACAGAGUAUAUGCAUGCUGGUCCUUUAUUGUGGAACCACUGGAAGGUUUAGAAUUUUCCCUAUACCAUUGUCAGGAAAAUUUGCAUAAAAAACUUGGUUUAUACAGGAUAACAGGACAAGACAAAGAGACAAAUCUUAGUGAAAAGAUUUUUGUCUGAUACAUCCAAAACUAAGACUAAUUACCAAUGCCCUGUAUAUCAGAUGUGAACUUACGGUCUUACAGGUUGGUCUUCAGUUCCUUCAAACUCCCUGGAGGCCCCAGUACAAUCACCAUUUUUUAUAUAAUUUUACACAUUUUAGUAAAUAACAAUAGCACCCUCGUCAUUUCUCAUCUUUGUUAUUCCAACUGUGAACUCUUUGUACCCAAGCCUUUCAUUCCAUGCUAGUACAGCAGGACUCCCAUGUUCACUAAUGUCUCUUUGAACUAAAUUCUAGCUCUUACCAGAUUUAGCAUGAACCUCAGCUCACAAACAAACUCCUGUCAUUUUUUCUGUGCUUCCCAAACAUAUUGAACACCACU